This 366-nucleotide long non-coding RNA is filed under the name Physcomitrium patens. RNAcentral describes it as "long non-coding RNA (PPAT_LNC008588)". The record is from RNAcentral. Lineage: Eukaryota; Viridiplantae; Streptophyta; Bryopsida; Funariales; Funariaceae.
ACUGUCCACUCUCUCAUAUCAAUACGGUAACAAUCACGACAUCAAUUUCAGUACCCUGUGUAAUUCACAAACACACAAGCACAACCCAAACCCUGGAACAAAUAACUUCCAAUCCACAGAAUCUGAUCAAGAUAAUUCCUUCAAUUACAAUUCCUCUCCACUGAACUUACAACCUUGCAAUAAACAGUGACUGGAAACUUCCAUACAUCCUCAAUCUUUCACAACAAUUAAUAAACAAUGAUCCAACUUACAAAUUAUAAGAAAACGUCCAAAAAACUAUAUUGAUAUUACUUGACUGUCAAUUUAAAAGUUAACGUACAUGUUCUAGUAGCAAUUUCUCCUUCUUCAAUUAUUGAUUUCAAUUCA